AUAGCCAUGCGGGUUGUAUGGGAUGCCUAAUAAUCCCAUGGCAAACUGCUUAUUAACACAUGAUCAACUUACCCUAUGGAGAAAAAUAACCUCGGGAAAGUAUCAUAGUGAUUUAAUGAAAAAAAUUGAAAGAUUAUGGUACCCCGAAACUGAGGAUAAUGUUUCAUAGUUGGAUAGGCUUGGAAAAGUUUUUCAAUGAAAUGGAUAAAAAAAAUGGUUUUUAUCUGCCAUAGGAUAGGAUCGUGGUCGAUUAUGGUUGUUGGUGAGGUAACGGCUCACCAAGCCGAUAAUCGAUAGGGGCCGUGAGAGCGGGAGCCCCAAGAUGGGUACUGAGACAACGACCCAGGCCUUACGAGGCGCAGCAGGCGCGAAACCUCCGCAAUACACGAAAGUGUGACGGGGUUACCCAAAGUGUUCUUUUAGAACUGUGGUAGGUGAGUAAUAUUCCCUACUAGAAAGGAGAGGGCAAGGCUGGUGCCAGCCGCCGCGGUAAAACCAGCUCUUCAAGUGGUCGGGAUAAUUAUUGGGCUUAAAGAGUCCGUAGCCGGUUUAGUAAGUUCCUGGUAAAAUCGGGUAGCUUAACUAUCCGCAUGCUAGGAAUACUGCUAUACUAGAGGGCGGGAGAGGUCUGAGGUACUACAGGGGUAGGGGUGAAAUCUUAUAAUCCUUGUAGGACCACCAGUGGCGAAGGCGUCAGACUGGAACGCGCCUGACGGUGAGGGACGAAAGCCAGGGGAGCGAACCGGGAUUAGAUACGCGGUGCUAGGUAGAAAUAAUAAUAAUUUAACACCACGCUAAAAACCCCGGGUAGUCUGCGUAACGAUG
RNAcentral lists this ribosomal RNA (825 nucleotides) under uncultured archaeon. RNAcentral's name for it is "bacterial SSU rRNA". It matches the Rfam family "Archaeal small subunit ribosomal RNA", at positions 45 to 762 of the family's 1478-position model. The record is from RNAcentral.